RNAcentral lists this ribosomal RNA (508 nucleotides) under Scheffersomyces shehatae. Its description in RNAcentral is "eukaryotic LSU rRNA". It matches the Rfam family "Eukaryotic large subunit ribosomal RNA", at positions 121 to 647 of the family's 3401-position model. The record is from RNAcentral. Lineage: Eukaryota; Fungi; Ascomycota; Pichiomycetes; Serinales; Debaryomycetaceae.
UCUGGCACCUUCGGUGUCCGAGUUGUAAUUUGAAGAAGGUAACUUUGGAGUUGGCUCUUGUCUAUGUUCCUUGGAACAGGACGUCACAGAGGGUGAGAAUCCCGUGCGAUGAGAUGUCCAACUCUAUGUAAAGUGCUUUCGAAGAGUCGAGUUGUUUGGGAAUGCAGCUCUAAGUGGGUGGUAAAUUCCAUCUAAAGCUAAAUAUUGGCGAGAGACCGAUAGCGAACAAGUACAGUGAUGGAAAGAUGAAAAGAACUUUGAAAAGAGAGUGAAAAAGUACGUGAAAUUGUUGAAAGGGAAGGGUUUGAGAUCAGACUUGGUAUUUUGUAUGUCUUGCUUUCGGGUGGGGCCUCUGCAGUUUACUGGGCCAGCAUCGGUUUGGACGGUAGGAUAAUGACAUUGGAAUGUGGCACUACUUCGGUGGUGUGUUAUAGACUUUGUUGAUACUGCCUGUCUAGACCGAGGACUGCGUCUUUGACUAGGAUGCUGGCAUAAUGAUCCUAAACCG